Small nucleolar RNA from Canis lupus familiaris (dog), 71 nucleotides. RefSeq annotates it as small nucleolar RNA SNORD113/SNORD114 family. NCBI's taxonomy places the organism in Eukaryota, Metazoa, Chordata, Mammalia, Carnivora, Canidae. The record is from RefSeq and is a predicted model, not a curated record. The transcript has a single exon.
UGGAUCAAUGAUGACUACUGAGGCGUAUGAGUCGUAUACGGUGAAUAUGUGUCUGGAACUCUGAGGUCCGA